GAUGAACGCUGGCGGCGUGCCUAAUACAUGCAAGUCGAGCGAACGGACGAGAAGCUUGCUUCUCUGAUGUUAGCGGCGGACGGGUGAGUAACACGUGGAUAACCUACCUAUAAGACGGGGAAAACUUCGGGAAACCGGAGCUAAUACCGGAUAAUAUUUUGAACCGCAUGGUUCAAUAGUGAAAGACGGUCUUGCUGGCAGUAAUAGAUGGAUCCGCGCUGCAUUAGCUAGUCGGUAAGGUAACGGGUUACCAAGGCAACGAUGCAUAGCCGACCGGAGUGGGUGAUCGGCCGCCUGGGAACGUGGACACGGUCCUUACUCCUGCGGGAGGCAGCAGACGGGAACCGUCCGCAAUGGUCGGAAACCUUACGGAGCGGCGCCGCGUCAGAUAUGGCAACCUUCCGUGCGUAAAACUCUGUUAUUAGUGGAGAACAUAUGUGUCAGUUACUGUGCACAGCUUGACGGUACCUGGUCAGAAAGCCACGGCUAACUACGUG
Molecule: ribosomal RNA, 497 nt
Filed under: uncultured bacterium
Lineage: Bacteria
Description: partial 16S ribosomal RNA
Rfam family: Bacterial small subunit ribosomal RNA
Source: RNAcentral